Rhododendron vialii is the source of this 1331-nucleotide long non-coding RNA. RefSeq lists it as uncharacterized. Lineage: Eukaryota; Viridiplantae; Streptophyta; Magnoliopsida; Ericales; Ericaceae. The record is from RefSeq and is a predicted model, not a curated record. The transcript is spliced from 3 exons.
UGAUCUGGUGGGCAAAAUGACAUGUUGCACAUGCAUUACGUAGAGAUUUUGCAAACAAGGAUCAUUUAGUGACACUGGCAAGAAGAACGUGAUCGUAUUGGUCACAGAGACUCUGUUACAUGGAAAUUUAUAAGAUUUGGGGGGUGCAAUGGAACUGUUUGAUAAAAUGCUUGACAAGGGGUUCUUUCUCUUGGAGUUCCAUGGAUGUCAUGGUUUAUGCCAAAGAAAGAAAGACAUACAAUGGAUUGAAACUCUUUACGGUGAUGCCACAAAAGAAAAAUGUUAUUAGCUGGACUGCCAUAGUUACGGCAAUUCACGGGUUAAAGGAGCAUGGUGCUCGUUCGAGCGAGUGUCCGAGACCAACACAAUUUCAUGGUCUAAAAUCACAUCGGGUUAUAGAAAUGUGGUUAUUAAGUUUAACCGACUCCAUAUUCGUUUACCAGUGCCUUAGUUGCUUUGGCUAAUCUAGCAAUGCUUUUAAGCAAGUCAAAGAGAUUUUUUCUGUCCAAUUCUAUUUUCAAUGACCUUUAAGUCUGGUAGUUUUCCAUCCGCACAGAGCGACAUUGUUACUUGUAGUCUCUGAUUAUCGGUGAGGGGGAGCAUGAUUUUGAGGCAAUUAUGGUUUCCGUCAGAUGCAAAAAGAAUGGUAUACAUUUGAUGAAUGGAAUGGUCUUUUCUGAUAACAUAGUUGGCCAUUCUGGGAAAAUUGUAUACGUUCAGCAGAGUUGGACAAGAGCACUGGCUGGGGACAGCCCAAAAUUGGAUAGCAUCUUCAUUUGCUAUGAGUUCUGUGAGGCUUUGUCCUCACAUAUUGGGCUGAAAGCCCAUUGCACAUUCCAAGAGGAUAUUUCAGUCGAUGAGCUGCUCUACGAGUUACAAUUUACCCUCCUAAUCUAUAAUGGGGCCGGGCUAGAAUUUGUCGAGGAGCGUGUAAAUUGGCAAUCUGGCACAUAGUUAUCAAAAACAAUGGCAGAGCACCAGCCAGCGUUUUCUUCUCUUGAUUGGUUGCUGGCUUGUACAUUUUCAAGCAACUUAUUUUUCAGAUCUGCAAGCAAGGUACACUUGAUUACACAUCGAGCAACGUUGAUGGUGAACGAGUAUCGGUAGAUAUUGGAUUGGUGACAAUGAUGAUUAUAGAGUCUUGUUAUGAAUUAGAAUAGUAACGUUGACGGUGAACGAGUAUCGAUGGAUACUGGAUUGGAGACAAUGAUGAUUAUAGAGUCUUGUUAUGAAUAUGAAUUGUUUGUCAUUCUUUAUGAGUUAUGUACGUAUUUUACUUUUUGCAAACGAAGGCUUUCAUAAUCAAAAAGACUUUUAAGGGCAUUAUAAAC